GCGGAUGUAGCCAAGUGGAUCAAGGCAGUGGAUUGUGAAU
RNAcentral lists this transfer RNA (40 nucleotides) under Amaranthus hybridus (smooth pigweed). RNAcentral's name for it is "partial tRNA-His". Lineage: Eukaryota; Viridiplantae; Streptophyta; Magnoliopsida; Caryophyllales; Amaranthaceae. The record is from RNAcentral. RNAcentral also lists the same sequence under 63 other names.